CGUUGAUGAAGAUCUCUGGGAGGGAUGAGAGGAAGCCGCGGGCGGAGGCAGGGGCGACCUCAGCGGCAUAAACUGGGGCGAUGACGAGAGCAUAGCCGACUCCCACGCCACCGAAGAAACGGCCGACCAUUAGGACAGCGUAAUUAGGGGCGAGGCUGGUGAUGAGAGAGCUGGCGAAGAAGAUGGCAGCUGCGAAGAUGAUGGUGAAGCGGCGGCCGAUCCAAUCGGACAUGCGGCCGGCGAUGGUGG
RNAcentral lists this unclassified non-coding RNA (249 nucleotides) under Hevea brasiliensis (rubber tree). The record is from RNAcentral. Lineage: Eukaryota; Viridiplantae; Streptophyta; Magnoliopsida; Malpighiales; Euphorbiaceae.